RNAcentral lists this ribosomal RNA (470 nucleotides) under Cyclorhipidion perpilosellum. RNAcentral's name for it is "partial 28S large subunit ribosomal RNA". The record is from RNAcentral. Lineage: Eukaryota; Metazoa; Arthropoda; Insecta; Coleoptera; Curculionidae.
CGUGAAACCGUUUAGGGGUAAACCUGAGAAACCCGAAAGGUCGAAGGGAGAAAUUCAUUCGCGUUUCGACGUAGGCGUCGGACGGGGUCGUGCGACGAGACACGUUCUUCGGAGCGAGUUUCGCGCCCUCCGUUCUUCGAACCGGCGACGAACGCGUGCACUUUUCUCCUGGUAGGACGUCGCGAUCCGUCGGGUGUCGGUCUACGACUUGCGGUGGAGACCGUCCGUCGUCUUGUACGUACGGACGGACCCGUUUGUUCCGGCCGACUCGCUCGACGGUAUACGUAAGGUCAGAGGCCGCUCGUUUAUUAGAAGCGUUCGACUCGACGCAAGCGCGCCAUGUGCGUCGGCACGCGGACCCAGUGCCGCGUCCGACCUCUGGUGACUGUUGGCGACGAUGUUCUCGGACAGACCUCUUUAUGACCGAUCGGCGACGCUAUAGCUUUGGGUACUUUCAGGACCCGUCUUGA